GGUCUUGCCAUAUCCAAACCUGAUGUGGUAGCCAUCCUAGAGCGAGGAAAAGAGCCAUGGAUAGAGGAAAGGGCUACAACAGGAGGGCUAUCUUCAGCGUUGGAAUCUGGAUAUGGCACCAAGAUAAUGUCCUUCAAGCAACACACUUAUGAGGAGGACUUGCCACAGAUAACAGAAAAUCUUCCAAUCUGCAGUCUUGAAAGCUCAAGUCUCCAAGAUGACUGGGAAGGCAAAGUCCUAUAUGAUAGACAACUAGAAAAUCCAGCCAGAAAUGCUGGCCCAGUGUUAACUCAUCACAAAGAAAUGCCCGCAUUAAACCAGUA
This is a long non-coding RNA of Mastomys coucha (southern multimammate mouse), 323 nucleotides long. RefSeq lists it as uncharacterized. The transcript has 2 exons. The record is from RefSeq and is a predicted model, not a curated record. NCBI's taxonomy places the organism in Eukaryota, Metazoa, Chordata, Mammalia, Rodentia, Muridae.